AGGAACGUUGAAGACAACGACGUUGAUAGGCCGGGUGUGUAAGCGCAGCGAUGCGUUGAGCUAACCGGUACUAAUGAACCGUGAGGCUUAACCUUACAACGCCGAAGGUGUUU
This 113-nucleotide ribosomal RNA is filed under the name Escherichia coli O157:H7 str. K5418. Its description in RNAcentral is "partial 23S ribosomal RNA". The stretch from base 1 to 95 matches the Rfam family "Bacterial large subunit ribosomal RNA", at positions 2831 to 2925 of the family's 2925-position model. The record is from RNAcentral. Lineage: Bacteria; Pseudomonadati; Pseudomonadota; Gammaproteobacteria; Enterobacterales; Enterobacteriaceae.